GCUACCUUUCUGUGCUCAUCUGAUGGGAUAGACUAGCAGGCUCAGCAAUACAUAUUUCAUGAGCACGCCACCAUAUGAUAACAGCACAGACAAAAAGUACAAGCCCUGUAGCAUAAAAGCAGUGCCUUGUAAAACAUAAAUAAAUCUAAAUGAUAGGUUCCUUAUAGCCUAAAGCACUGCAGAAUCUGUCAUUGCUUUUUAUAGCUGUCUAAAUUCACUACUACUACUAUAAAGAUUUUGACACACUUGUUUUUGGUCUAGUAUUUUUUCAGAAGAGGGUCACAAUGAGCCUGGAAUCUGUCCUAGGAACCACAGAGCAUACCAGACAUGGUUUCCUACAAGUACUCCGGUUUCCUCACACAGUCCACAGACUUUUCCAGAAAAUUACGUUUUUUUUAAAAAACAAAAAAAUGUUUUCACUACCAUUUUAUGUGUCCUGCAGUUUAUCUUAAAUUAUUUGUUUGUUCAGCAAUAUAAACUUAAAUGUGAAACCUGACGUAUGUGUGUUAUAUCUGUUAAAAUCCAUUUUGCUCACUUGCCUCUGUUUUGUGUUACCUGUCCAGCUUUUUUUUCCUUGUCACCUAAUCCAGGACAUUAAUAGUUGUCUUCAGACAGGAGGUUUUUCUGGGCCAGAUUAGUUUCACAGGCGUUUAGACGCUUCUGCUCCCUUCUGAGUAAAGAUGCUGUGAGCUGCUCCUGGUGUUUUUUGGCACAUUUUCGUUUUCUUUUUUGUUUGUGUGUCUCUUGUCCUGUAGGAUGCAAGUUGCUUGCCAUUUGAUCUGGAAUAACCAUCUUUGCUUGUUGUUCUUCAGUGUAGUUAUAUUUUGCAGCAUGAUAAAUCACUUCAGGGAAUAGUGUGUACUCCCUAAUUGGAAAUGCUCAAGUAGAACGUCUUAGUGCUACUGAGUGAGCACCUUACGUUAUGCAGUUUAAAAGCACUGUUGUUCCUGUGAUUCACAAGGUUUGAAGGCUGUCAAUGUACUGUAUGUUUGCAUAUGAGACAUAUGAGGACUGAAAUGUCGAAUGCAUUUCCAUGCAGGUGGGUGUUUUUUUUUGGGAAAGGCCAGAGCUGUAACAGGAACUGAUAGGGACAAGUUUUGACACACCCUCUAGAGGUAAUUUCAUCUGGUUACCUGUUUAUCCUCAUUCCCCACGGUCGGAUCUCCUGGGUUAUUAUCAUCACGGAGUUUCCAUAUCAGCACAUGGAAACACACACGCAAACACACACAGGAACUGCUUGUCUUCCAAACAUGCUGCUGCCGUGAAGUCUACUGCA
Long non-coding RNA from Paramormyrops kingsleyae, 1276 nucleotides. RefSeq lists it as uncharacterized. Lineage: Eukaryota; Metazoa; Chordata; Actinopteri; Osteoglossiformes; Mormyridae. The record is from RefSeq and is a predicted model, not a curated record.